UACGUAGGGGGCGAGCGUUGUCCGGAUUUAUUGGGCGUAAAGAGCUCGUAGGCGGUUUGGCAAGUCGGGUGUGAAAACUCCGGGCUCAACUCGGAGACGCCACUCGAUACUGCCAUGACUCGAGUCCGGUAGGGGAGUGCGGAAUUCCUGGUGUAGCGGUGAAAUGCGUAGAUAUCAGGAGGAACACCGGUGGUGUAGACGGCUCUCUGGACCGUAACUGACGCUGAGGCACGAAAGCGUGGGUAGCAAACAGG
This 254-nucleotide ribosomal RNA is filed under the name uncultured bacterium. RNAcentral's name for it is "partial 16S ribosomal RNA". It matches the Rfam family "Bacterial small subunit ribosomal RNA", at positions 524 to 776 of the family's 1533-position model. The record is from RNAcentral.